UUAAGCGACUAAGCGUACACGGUGGAUGCCCUGGCAGUCAGAGGCGAUGAAGGACGUGCUAAUCUGCGAAAAGCGUCGGUAAGGUGAUAUGAACCGUUAUAACCGGCGAUGUCCGAAUGGGGAAACCCAGUGCAAUUCGUUGCACUAUCGUUAACUGAAUACAUAGGUUAACGAGGCGAACCGGGGGAACUGAAACAUCUAAGUACCCCGAGGAAAAGAAAUCAACCGAGAUUCCCCCAGUAGCGGCGAGCGAACGGGGAGCAGCCCAGAGUCUGAAUCAGCUUGUGUGUUAGUGGAACGGUCUGGAAAGUCCGACGGUACAGGGUGAUAGUCCCGUACACCAAAAUGCACAGGUUGUGAACUCGAAGAGUAGGGCGGGACACGUGGUAUCCUGUCUGAAUAUGGGGGGACCAUCCUCCAAGGCUAAAUACUCCUGACUGACCGAUAGUGAACCAGUACCGUGAGGGAAAGGCGAAAAGAACCCCGGCGAGGGGAGUGAAAAAGAACCUGAAACCGUGUACGUACAAGCAGUGGGAGCACCUUCGGGUGUGACUGCGUACCUUUUGUAUAAUGGGUCAGCGACUUAUAUUCUGUAGCAAGGUUAACCGUAUAGGGGAGCCGCAGGGAAACCGAGUCUUAACUGGGCGUUAAGUUGCAGGGUAUAGACCCGAAACCCGGUGAUCUAGCCAUGGGCAGGUUGAAGGUUGGGUAACACUAACUGGAGGACCGAACCGACUAAUGUUGAAAAAUUAGCGGAUGACUUGUGGCUGGGGGUGAAAGGCCAAUCAAACCGGGAGAUAGCUGGUUCUCCCCGAAAGCUAUUUAGGUAGCGCCUCGUGAACUCAUCUUCGGGGGUAGAGCACUGUUUCGGCUAGGGGGUCAUCCCGACUUACCAACCCGAUGCAAACUACGAAUACCGAAGAAUGUUAUCACGGGAGACACACGGCGGGUGCUAACGUCCGUCGUGAAGAGGGAAACAACCCAGACCGCCAGCUAAGGUCCCAAAGUCAUGGUUAAGUGGGAAACGAUGUGGGAAGGCACAGACAGCCAGGAUGUUGGCUUAGAAGCAGCCAUCAUUUAAAGAAAGCGUAAUAGCUCACUGGUCGAGUCGGCCUGCGCGGAAGAUGUAACGGGGCUAAACCAUGCACCGAAGCUGCGGCAGCGACACUAUGUGUUGUUGGGUAGGGGAGCGUUCUGUAAGCCUGCGAAGGUGACCUGUGAGGGUUGCUGGAGGUAUCAGAAGUGCGAAUGCUGACAUAAGUAACGAUAAAGCGGGUGAAAAGCCCGCUCGCCGGAAGACCAAGGGUUCCUGUCCAACGUUAAUCGGGGCAGGGUGAGUCGACCCCUAAGGCGAGGCCGAAAGGCGUAGUCGAUGGGAAACAGGUUAAUAUUCCUGUACUUGGUGUUACUGCGAAGGGGGGACGGAGAAGGCUAUGUUAGCCGGGCGACGGUUGUCCCGGUUUAAGCAUGUAGGCUGGUUGUCCAGGCAAAUCCGGAUAAUCAAGGCUGAGGUGUGAUGACGAGGCACUACGGUGCUGAAGUAACAAAUGCCCUGCUUCCAGGAAAAGCCUCUAAGCAUCAGGUAACAUCAAAUCGUACCCCAAACCGACACAGGUGGUCAGGUAGAGAAUACCAAGGCGCUUGAGAGAACUCGGGUGAAGGAACUAGGCAAAAUGGUGCCGUAACUUCGGGAGAAGGCACGCUGGUGUGUAGGUGAAGCCCCUGCGGGUGGAGCUGAGACCAGUCGAAGAUACCAGCUGGCUGCAACUGUUUAUUAAAAACACAGCACUGUGCAAACACGAAAGUGGACGUAUACGGUGUGACGCCUGCCCGGUGCCGGAAGGUUAAUUGAUGGGGUUAUCCGUAAGGAGAAGCUCUUGAUCGAAGCCCCGGUAAACGGCGGCCGUAACUAUAACGGUCCUAAGGUAGCGAAAUUCCUUGUCGGGUAAGUUCCGACCUGCACGAAUGGCGUAAUGAUGGCCAGGCUGUCUCCACCCGAGACUCAGUGAAAUUGAACUCGCUGUGAAGAUGCAGUGUACCCGCGGCAAGACGGAAAGACCCCGUGAACCUUUACUAUAGCUUGACACUGAACAUUGAGCCUUGAUGUGUAGGAUAGGUGGGAGGCUUUGAAGCGUGGACGCCAGUCUGCGUGGAGCCAACCUUGAAAUACCACCCUUUAAUGUUUGAUGUUCUAACGUUGGCCCCUGACCGGGGUUGCGGACAGUGUCUGGUGGGUAGUUUGACUGGGGCGGUCUCCUCCCAAAGCGUAACGGAGGAGCACGAAGGUUAGCUAAUCCUGGUCGGACAUCAGGAGGUUAGUGCAAUGGCAUAAGCUAGCUUGACUGCGAGCGUGACGGCGCGAGCAGGUGCGAAAGCAGGUCAUAGUGAUCCGGUGGUUCUGAAUGGAAGGGCCAUCGCUCAACGGAUAAAAGGUACUCCGGGGAUAACAGGCUGAUACCGCCCAAGAGUUCAUAUCGACGGCGGUGUUUGGCACCUCGAUGUCGGCUCAUCACAUCCUGGGGCUGAAGUAGGUCCCAAGGGUAUGGCUGUUCGCCAUUUAAAGUGGUACGCGAGCUGGGUUUAGAACGUCGUGAGACAGUUCGGUCCCUAUCUGCCGUGGGCGCUGGAGAAUUGAGGGGGGCUGCUCCUAGUACGAGAGGACCGGAGUGGACGCAUCACUGGUGUUCGGGUUGUCAUGCCAAUGGCACUGCCCGGUAGCUAAAUGCGGAAGAGAUAAGUGCUGAAAGCAUCUAAGCACGAAACUUGCCCCGAGAUGAGUUCUCCCUGAGACUUUAAGUCUCCUGAAGGAACGUUGAAGACGACGACGUUGAUAGGCCGGGUGUGUAAGCGCAGCGAUGCGUUGAGCUAACCGGUACUAAUGAACCGUGAGGCUUAACCUU
RNAcentral lists this ribosomal RNA (2900 nucleotides) under Klebsiella pneumoniae. Its description in RNAcentral is "bacterial LSU rRNA". It matches the Rfam family "Bacterial large subunit ribosomal RNA". The record is from RNAcentral. Lineage: Bacteria; Pseudomonadati; Pseudomonadota; Gammaproteobacteria; Enterobacterales; Enterobacteriaceae.